Venturia canescens is the source of this 472-nucleotide long non-coding RNA. RefSeq lists it as uncharacterized. The record is from RefSeq and is a predicted model, not a curated record. The transcript has 3 exons. Lineage: Eukaryota; Metazoa; Arthropoda; Insecta; Hymenoptera; Ichneumonidae.
UCGUUACGGUGACAUUUCUGUUUAUCUCUUCGAAGGUUUUUUUCCGUGUACAUGAAAAAUUGAGACACGGUGAAUCGUGAUUAGAUAAGGAAAAGUUUUGUAUUAUUGAUACUGCGUGACGUGAGCCCUCGCAGGGGUAGAGGAUUUAUUAUCAAUCGUUAGAAAUGGAAUAAUAUAAUCGUGCCAAAAGGUGUUAGUACAUCGACGACAGGCUUUCGAGUCGAGGAAUCUAAGACUGGGGAAUAAAAAGAAAAGCGAAACAUUUUUAAGAAAUGGACGAAAUUAAAUCAUCAUCAGAACCGGGACGAUUCCGGCAGACCCUCGCUGCGGUGCUUGUUAACAUCGCUGCCUUAGCGUACGGUAUAAUGCUAGCAUGGCCAUCACCGGCAAUUCCACAGCUGCAGAGCGUCGAUACACCGGUGGGAAAUACGCCACUGACAGAGGAGCAGGCUUCAUGGGUGACAGGUUCAUU